UACAGAGGGUGCGAGCGUUGUUCGGAAUUACUGGGCGUAAAGCGCGCGCAGGCGGCCUUUUAAGUCUGCUGUGAAAACUCGAGGCUCAACCUCGAGCUGUCGGUGGAAACUGUCUGGCUAGAGUCCGGAAGAGGAGAGUGGAAUUCCUGGUGUAGCGGUGAAAUGCGCAGAUAUCAGGAAGAACACCUAUGGCGAAGGCAGCUCUCUGGGACGGUACUGACGCUGAGACGCGAAAGCGUGGGGAGCGAACAGG
Molecule: ribosomal RNA, 253 nt
Filed under: uncultured bacterium
Lineage: Bacteria
Description: partial 16S ribosomal RNA
Rfam family: Bacterial small subunit ribosomal RNA
Source: RNAcentral